GGGCGCGCGCUACACUGCAGUCGAGCGGAUGAAGUAGCUUGCUACCGGAUUCAGCGGCGGACGGCUGAGUAAUGCUUAGGAAUCUGCCUAUUAGUGGGGGACAACGUUCCGAAAGGAGCGCUAAUACCGCAUACGUCCUACGGGAGAAAGCAGGGGACCUUCGGGCCUUGCGCUAAUAGAUGAGCCUAAGUCGGAUUAGCUAGUUGGGAGGGUAAAGGCCUACCAAGGCGACAAUCUGUAGCGGGUCUGAGAGGAUGAUCCCCCCACCCUGGGACUGAAACACGGCCCAGACUCUUCCGGGAGGCAGCGGUGGGGAAUUUUGCACAAUGGGGGGAACCCUGUUCCAGCCUUGCCCCGUGUGGGAAAAAGGCCUUUUUGCUUGUAAAGACCUUUAAGCCUCGGGGGGGGCUCCCUCAGUUUAAUACUUUUAGGAAAGGGGACGUUAUCCCCCAAAAAAAAUCACCGGGUCUAAUUUUUUGGGCCCCUCUACCCGCGGGGAAUUCCUAAGGGGGGGCCGAGGCGUUUAUCUCGCAUUUUUCGGGGGGGGAAAAGCGGUGUCUUAGUGCCGCCCAAUUUAAAUUCCAAAAUUUUUAAAAUCCCCCCAACCAUUUAACUUUGGAAAAAUUGUUUUCUCUAUCCCUGGGGUUGGUUCAAAUCCAUUGUGGUCAAAGAUAUGGUAAAAUACUUCCCCGGUGUUAGCCCGGGUAAAAAUCUCUCUCAAAUCAUUCUGGAGAGAAAACCCCAAUGGGCCGAAGGGGAGGCCCACUUUGCCUCCUAUAAUCUUGACUCCUUGAUGUGUACCAAAAAACCUGGGGUAGGCUAACAAGGAUUUAUAUCCC
RNAcentral lists this ribosomal RNA (839 nucleotides) under Acinetobacter radioresistens. Its description in RNAcentral is "partial 16S ribosomal RNA". The stretch from base 1 to 409 matches the Rfam family "Bacterial small subunit ribosomal RNA", at positions 40 to 535 of the family's 1533-position model. Lineage: Bacteria; Pseudomonadati; Pseudomonadota; Gammaproteobacteria; Moraxellales; Moraxellaceae. The record is from RNAcentral.